CAACACACGACACUGGCAAGCUGGAUCCCAGCCAACCAAUUGCGAACGUGUUUUUAAAAGCAAAAUGAAACCUCGGGUAGAAGGAAUCUCUCCCUCCAUCCCUCCCUAUACUAUUUGGGAUGUGGGGCCAUAGACAUCUGUACUGCUCAGUUGGGAAGGGAACAUCUGCACGAAAUCUAGGACCAGAAGGUACAGAAGGAAUCCCUUACAGAAAUCCCACAUGCGGAACGUUUCAUAGAGACGUCAGAGGACUAUCACACCCCAAAUGCUUCCCUCUGUGAAAUACCAGAGAUACCACUGACCUUCUGCAGGCCAGAGCAGUCACUGGAAAAAGCAAGGACUCAAGAGGAAGAACUUGAUUCCCAUCUCGUCUUUUUGGACUUUUAUUCCUACUAGAUACAAGUUGAAGCUACCCCUGUCUGUUUUGACAUGUGGUCUGCUUAUUUGUGCAAUUUACUGCCCUGCUGACCUUGUCGUGGGUGCUGAGGAGCCACAUGUUGGAGGAUACUCAGGGAGAAGGACUCCUGGAUAAAGAUCAGCUGCACACUGUGAUCCCUACACCAGAUAGAAGAGGAAGCUGCAGUCUCUGAAAAGGCUGUCCAUCAGAUGACAUCACAACUGAGAGAUGAGUACAAAGGAAGUACUAUCCAAAACAUGCUUGAUUCCACACUCCCAGAGCAUAAAGUCACUGUAUAGAUAUAAUUUUAGUUGCUUUUUAAGAACUAUAGUUGUGUGUUGCACAGAUUAUAUAAGUACCAUAGGCAAAUAUACCAAGCAGGGGUGUUAGUUUAAAAAAAUAAAUAUAUAAAAGAAACAUACUAGAUUAAUUCGCAUUACCCUCUAUAGACCACACAGAAAAUUAAGUGAACAAAGUGCUUAGAAUAUGAAACUCCAAAAUAUAUAUCUUUUAAAAAAGCAUGCAGGACAUGGAGUAGGGAUUAUUAACUUUACUGAGAAAAAAAUCUAAAGAAGUGCUAAAUAUAUAGUGAGAUAAAAAUAUUUUUUAAGUUAGAAAAUAUGAUGAUAAUAUUGUAACAGAAGCACCUUGCUUCCAUCACAAUUUAUUUUCCCUUUAUUCUAUGAUAACAGAAUUGUGAAUGAGCCCAUGACUGUUCACUACAACAGACACCUCUCAGGUGUAACUGACUUCCCUCCCACAGAAGGUGAAUUGAGACACUGCUUCCAACAUUUAUCGAGAGCACUUUCCCUUCCCAUUGGCCAAAACCAGGAUGUUGCAACAGGACCACAUUGGAGGUUUCUAGGUUAUCAGAGGCCUUUACUACAUCUAUGUGAUUUAAAUAGUGACUAUAGUGUAUAAGAACGUAAAUUUGAAUUGAGCAUUCAGUUUAUUUUUCCCCUGCCUACUUAAGUUCUGCCCUAUCAACAAGCCCAGGCAAUUUUCAUUAUUAACCAGUGGUAUUCACAGCAUCCAGAGGGGACUCCCACAUCAAAGUCUGACCACUUUACGGCGUUUAUGUUUUGCUUCACAUAAAGCCUUUUCCCUUCUCUUUACAAAAGGCUAACCUGGCUACAGCAAUCCAACCUUGGUGAGAACAUCCAGAGGGAGGCACCAGACUUCAGGCAAGAGAUGACACUCCUCUGAAAGAGAGCGAUGAGGAGGUGACCAUCAAAAGGGCCUUGGACGUGGAGAAUAGUGCAGCACACAGGAUGCAGUGGGUGAUAUAUUUGCUUGUACCCAUGGAGACCAAAAGAGACUGUUACAGAGAUUCGUCAAUGACUUGACAUAGAUGCCUGGAUACAAACAUAUGGUAAAAGUAACAAGUGCUUUUACACUGAGCCAUCUCUCCAGUCCUCAAAAUGCCUUUUAAAACAGAUUUACUUAUAGCAAAUUUAUUAUUUUUACAAUUGACUUUUUUAAAAAUAGAUUUGCUUUUGCAGUAAUACAAGUGAUGUGAUUCUGAAACAAUUCAGAUACGUUACAGGAUUGAGCCGUGAAUGAGCGAUCUUAUACUGUUGAAAGUCGAAGUCUUGCUGUGGAAAAAGGGUCACAUACAUAUUUUUUUAAGGAAUGCAUUGCAACUAGAGAGAUGGGGAGGGGAGAGGAGGAAGUCUCUUACCUAAGGCUGAAUGCUGGCAAGUAAAUGUCAGGGGUGGGAAGAGAUUGAAAAAUACUUUACACUAUCAUAGUAUCCAAAGGAAGAUUGAAUCAGACAAGAAACACCAACGGAUGCUAAAUCUAAAAAGAGAUUUUGAUGAAGACCAGAAACUUGGCAUGGACUUAAUGGGUCUUACCACACAUGCUGUUAAUUAAUUUCAAGGUGAAAACAAAGCAAUUAUACAGGGUGAAAACUAAGCAACACUUUCACUGCCCUAUUGACCUCAGCAGAGAGGAGCAGACGGCCUCUGUGUGACUCCACGUAGGACGCCUGGGGAAGGACACAGUGACCUCAGAGAAGCAUCUGGUGUAGAACGCAUACUUGACUCUAACCAAGAGAAAACAGAAGACCAACGAGGAAUAUUCGAGCAAAAAAGAGGACAGUGACAGACUUCAAAAUGUUAUUGAGACAGAAGACAAUUGAAGGUUAUGGAAAUAUCUGAGCACAGGUCAUGUCCUACAUUGGAGGGAGAAAUGCAGCGAAGUAAGGGGUUGAGACCUUCAAAAGGCUAAGAGCUUUGUGGCCCCAGUGCCUAUGUGUGAUAUUCCCUUCAAUUGUAGACUGGAUUCUUAUUAUGAAGAAGGAUAUUACUACUUUUAGGAAAUGUCUAGGGGCUAGUGGUGCAUAGGAAAAGGACUGGGGUGGACAGUUUAAUAUUCAUAUAAUGGUUAAUGUGUGGUGAGGAAACAAACUGGCAAAGACAGAGUAAAUUGCAGCAGUAGUUGAAUCCCGUGGAAGGCUGAAAAUGUGCUCUGAAUACUCUUCAUGUUAAAUUUU
Long non-coding RNA from Alexandromys fortis (reed vole), 2894 nucleotides. RefSeq lists it as uncharacterized. The record is from RefSeq and is a predicted model, not a curated record. NCBI's taxonomy places the organism in Eukaryota, Metazoa, Chordata, Mammalia, Rodentia, Cricetidae. The transcript is spliced from 4 exons.